Molecule: unclassified non-coding RNA, 194 nt
Filed under: uncultured Ascomycota
Lineage: Eukaryota; Fungi; Ascomycota
Description: sequence contains ITS1
Source: RNAcentral
AAGAGUUAGGGUCUUCCAGGCCCGAUCUCCCAACCCUGUGUUUACUCAACCGUUAUGUUGCUUCGGCGAGCCCGUCUUCACUGACCGCCGGGGGAUCUGUCCAGGUCUCCUGGCCCGCGCUUACCGGUGGCCCAACCUUUAAACUCUUAACUAAACGUGUCGUGACUAAGUAUCAAUUUUUUAAAUUAAACGCA